CCUACGGGAGGCAGCAGUGAGGAAUAUUGGUCAAUGGACGCGAGUCUGAACCAGCCAAGUAGCGUGCAGGAUGACUGCCCUCCGGGUUGUAAACUUCUUUUAUAUGGGAAUAAAAUGUUGCACGUGUGCCCUUUUGUGUGUAUCCUAUGAAUAAGGGUCGGCUAACUCCGUGCCAGCAGCCGCGGUAAUACGGAGGAUCCGCGCGUUAUCCGGAUUUAUUGGGUUUAAAGGGAGCGUAGGUGGAUUGUUAAGUCAGUUGUGAAAGUUUGCGGCUCAACCGUGAAAUUGCAGUUGAUACUGGCAGUCUUGAGUACAGUAGAGGAGGGCGGAAUUCGUGGUGUAGCGGUGAAAUGCUUAGAUAUCACGAAGAACUCCGAUGGCGAAGGCAGCUCACUGGACUGCAACUGACGCUGAGGCUCGAAAGUGUGGGUAUCAAACAGGAUUAGAUACCCUGGUAGUC
Molecule: ribosomal RNA, 460 nt
Filed under: uncultured bacterium
Lineage: Bacteria
Description: partial 16S ribosomal RNA
Rfam family: Bacterial small subunit ribosomal RNA
Source: RNAcentral